AUUGAACGCUGGCGGCAGGCCUAACACAUGCAAGUCGAUCGAGCGGCGGCCGGGUGAGUAAUGUAUGGGGACUGCCCGAUCGAGGAGGAUAACUACUGGAAACGGUGGCUAAUACCGCAUACUAUCGGAUAACCCAUAUGGGAUUAGCUAGUAGGUGGGGUAAAGGCGAACCUAGGCGACGAUCUCUAGAUGGUCUGAGAGGAUGAACAGCCACACUGGGAUUGAGACAGGGCCCAGACUCCUACGGAUGCAGAAGUGGGGAAUAUUGCACAAUGGGCGCAAUCCUGAUGCAGCCAUGCCGCGUGUAUGAAGAAGGCCUUAGGGUUGUAAAGUACUUUCAGCGGGGAGGCGUUACCCGCAGAAGAAGCACCGGCUAACUCCGUGCCAGCAGCCGCGGUAAUUC
Molecule: ribosomal RNA, 403 nt
Filed under: uncultured bacterium
Lineage: Bacteria
Description: partial 16S ribosomal RNA
Rfam family: Bacterial small subunit ribosomal RNA
Source: RNAcentral